RNAcentral lists this transfer RNA (82 nucleotides) under Mytilus galloprovincialis (Mediterranean mussel). It matches the Rfam family "tRNA". Rfam says of the family: Transfer RNA (tRNA) molecules are approximately 80 nucleotides in length. Their secondary structure includes four short double-helical elements and three loops (D, anti-codon, and T loops). Further hydrogen bonds mediate the characteristic L-shaped molecular structure. tRNAs have two regions of fundamental functional importance: the anti-codon, which is responsible for specific mRNA codon recognition, and the 3' end, to which the tRNAs corresponding amino acid is attached (by aminoacyl-tRNA synthetases). tRNAs cope with the degeneracy of the genetic code in two manners: having more than one tRNA (with a specific anti-codon) for a particular amino acid; and 'wobble' base-pairing, i.e. permitting non-standard base-pairing at the 3rd anti-codon position. Lineage: Eukaryota; Metazoa; Mollusca; Bivalvia; Mytilida; Mytilidae. The record is from Rfam by way of RNAcentral.
AGUGUGGUGGCCGAGUGUUAAGGCGUUGGACUUAAGUUCCAAUGGACGUAUGUCCGCGUGGGUUCGAACCCCACCCGCACUA